This 606-nucleotide ribosomal RNA is filed under the name Mycteroperca jordani (Gulf grouper). RNAcentral's name for it is "partial 16S ribosomal RNA". It matches the Rfam family "Bacterial large subunit ribosomal RNA", at positions 1801 to 2610 of the family's 2925-position model. The record is from RNAcentral. Lineage: Eukaryota; Metazoa; Chordata; Actinopteri; Perciformes; Serranidae.
UGUUUACCAAAAACAUCGCUUCUUGUUAANCCGAAAGUAUAAGAGGUCCCGCCUGCCCUGUGACUAUAUGUUUAACGGCCGCGGUAUUUUGACCGUGCGAAGGUAGCGCAAUCACUUGUCUUUUAAAUGGGGACCUGUAUGAAUGGCAUAACGAGGGCUUAACUGUCUCCUCUUUCAAGUCAAUGAAAUUGAUCUCCCCGUGCAGAAGCGGGGAUAAACACAUAAGACGAGAAGACCCUAUGGAGCUUUAGACACUAAAGCAGAUCAACAUUAAUACCCUUAACAAUAGGACCCGAAUCAACUGAACCCUGCCCUAAUGUCUUUGGUUGGGGCGACCGCGGAGAAAUAAAAAACCCCCGCAAGGACCGAAUGUACUACAUUCACAACCAAGAGCGACAGCUCUAAUUAACAGAAUUUCUGACCAGUAAGAUCCGGCAACGCCGAUCAAUGAACCGAGUUACCCUAGGGAUAACAGCGCAAUCUCCUCUUAGAGCCCAUAUCGACGAGGAGGUUUACGACCUCGAUGUUGGAUCAAGGACAUCCUAAUGGUGCAGCCGCUAUUAAGGGUUCGUUUGUUCAACGAUUAAAGUCCUACGUGAUCUGAGU